GUUGUUGGGUAGGGGAGCGUUCUGUAAGCCGUCGAAGGUGGCCUGUGAGGGCUGCUGGAGGUAUCAGAAGUGCGAAUGCUGACAUAAGUAACGAUAAAGCGGGUGAAAAACCCGCUCGCCGGAAGACCAAGGGUUCCUGUCCAACGUUAAUCGGGGCAGGGUGAGUCGACCCCUAAGGCGAGGCCGAAAGGCGUAGUCGAUGGGAAACAGGUUAAUAUUCCUGUACUCGGUGUUACUGCGAAGGGGGGACGGAGAAGGCUAUGUUGGCCGGGCGACGGUUGUCCCGGUUUAAGCAUGUAGGCGGAGGUUCCAGGUAAAUCCGGAA
Molecule: ribosomal RNA, 325 nt
Filed under: Leclercia tamurae
Lineage: Bacteria; Pseudomonadati; Pseudomonadota; Gammaproteobacteria; Enterobacterales; Enterobacteriaceae
Description: partial 23S ribosomal RNA
Rfam family: Bacterial large subunit ribosomal RNA
Source: RNAcentral